AGCGAACGCUGGCGGCAGGCUUAACACAUGCAAGUCGAGCGGGCAUCCUUGUGGUGUCAGCGGCAGACGGGUGAGUAACACGUGGGAACGUGCCCUUCGGUUCGGAAUAACUCAGGGAAACUUGAGCUAAUACCGGAUACGUGCGAGAGCAGAAAGGUUUAUCUGCCGAAGGAUCGGCCCGCGUCUGAUUAGCUAGUUGGUGAGGUUAUGGCUCACCAAGGCGACGAUCAGUAGCUGGUCUGAGAGGAUGAUCAGCCACACUGGGACUGAGACACGGCCCAGACUCCUACGGGAGGCAGCAGUGGGGAAUAUUGGACAAUGGGGGCAACCCUGAUCCAGCCAUGCCGCGUGAGUGAUGACGGCCUUAGGGUUGUAAAGCUCUUUUCUCCGGGACGAUAAUGACGGUACCGGAGGAAUAAGCCCCGGCUAACUUCGUG
This 437-nucleotide ribosomal RNA is filed under the name uncultured bacterium. RNAcentral's name for it is "partial 16S ribosomal RNA". It matches the Rfam family "Bacterial small subunit ribosomal RNA", at positions 29 to 507 of the family's 1533-position model. The record is from RNAcentral.